ACCUUUCGGGGUCAGCGGCGGACGGGUGAGUAACGCGUGGGAACGUGCCUUCCGGUUCGGAAUAACCCUGGGAAACUAGGGCUAAUACCGGAUACGCCCUUAUGGGGAAAGGUUUACUGCCGGAAGAUCGGCCCGCGUCUGAUUAGCUAGUUGGUGGGUAACGGCCUACCAAGGCGACGAUCAGUAGCUGGUCUGAGAGGAUGAUCAGCCACACUGGGACUGAGACACGGCCCAGACUCCUACGGGAGGCAGCAGUGGGGAAUAUUGGACAAUGGGCGCAGGCCUGAUCCAGCCAUGCCGCGUGAGUGAUGAAGGCCUUAGGGUUGUAAAGCUCUUUUAUCCGGGACGAUAAUGACGGUACCGGAGGAAUAAGCCCCGGCUAACUUCGUGCCAGCAGCCGCGGUAAUACGAAGGGGGCUAGCGUUGCUCGGAAUCACUGGGCGUAAAGGGCGCGUAGGCGGCGUUUUAAGUCGGGGGUGAAAGCCUGUGGCUCAACCACAGAAUGGCCUUCGAUACUGGGACGCUUGAGUAUGGUAGAGGUUGGUGGAACUGCGAGUGUAGAGGUGAAAUUCGUAGAUAUUCGCAAGAACACCGGUGGCGAAGGCGGCCAACU
RNAcentral lists this ribosomal RNA (613 nucleotides) under uncultured Alphaproteobacteria bacterium. Its description in RNAcentral is "bacterial SSU rRNA". It matches the Rfam family "Bacterial small subunit ribosomal RNA", at positions 81 to 730 of the family's 1533-position model. The record is from RNAcentral. Lineage: Bacteria; Pseudomonadati; Pseudomonadota; Alphaproteobacteria.